AAUAUUCUAGUAUGAGAAAUUAACGAUUUAAGUCCUUCUUAAUGAGGCCAUUACCCAUAGAGGGUGACAGGCCCGUAUAACGUUAAUGAUUACUAGAUGAUGUUUCCAAAGAGUCGUGUUGCUUGAUAGUGCAGCACUAAGUGGGUGGUAAACUCCAUCUAAAACUAAAUAUAACCAUGAGACCGAUAGUAAACAAGUACCGUGAGGGAAAGUUGAAAAGAACUCUGAAUAGAGAGUUAAACAGUACGUGAAACUGCUUAGAGGUUAAGCCGAUGAACUGAAUAUCCGUUAUGGAAAAUUCAUCAUUAAAAUUGUAAUAUUUAAAUAAUAUUAUGAGAAUAGUGUGCAUUUUUUCCAUAUAAGGACAUUGUAAUCUAUUAGCAUAUACCAAAUUUAUCAUAAAAUAUAACUUAUAGUUUAUUCCAAUUAAAUUGCUUGCAUUUUAACACAGAAUAAAUGUUAUUAAUUUGAUAAAGUGCUGAUAGAUUUAUAUGAUUACAGUGCGUUAAUUUUUCGGAAUUAUAUAAUGGCAUAAUUAUCAUUGAUUUUUGUGUUUAUUAUAUGCACUUGUAUGAUUAACAAUGCGAAAGAUUCAGGAUACCUUCGGGACCCGUCUUGAAACACGGACCAAGGAGUCUAACAUAUGUGCAAGUUAUUGGGAUAUAAACCUAAUAGCGUAAUUAACUUGACUAAUAAUGGGAUUAGUUUUUUAGCUAUUUAUAGCUAAUUAACACAAUCCCGGGCGUUCUAUAUAGUUAUGUAUAAUGUAUAUUUAUAUUAUUUAUGCCUCUAACUGGAACGUACCUUGAGCAUAUAUGCUGUGACCCGAAAGAUGGUGAACUAUACUUGAUCAGGUUGAAGUCAGGGGAAACCCUGAUGGAAGACCGAAACAGUUCUGACGUGCAAAUCGAUUGUCAGAAUUGAGUAUAGGGGCGAAAGACCAAUCGAACCAUCUAGUAGCUGGUUCCUUCCGAAGUUUCCCUCAGGAUAGCUGGUGCAUUUUAAUAUUAUAUAAAAUAAUCUUAUCUGGUAAAGCGAAUGAUUAGAGGCCUUAGGGUCGAAACGAUCUUAACCUAUUCUCAAACUUUAAAUGGGUAAGAACCUUAACUUUCUUGAUAUGAAGUUCAAGGUUAUGAUAUAAUGUGCCCAGUGGGCCACUUUUGGUAAGCAGAACUGGCGCUGUGGGAUGAACCAAACGUAAUGUUACGGUGCCCAAAUUAACAACUCAUGCAGAUACCAUGAAAGGCGUUGGUUGCUUAAAACAGCAGGACGGUGAUCAUGGAAGUCGAAAUCCGCUAAGGAGUGUGUAACAACUCACUGCCGAAGCAACUAGCCCUUAAAAUGGAUGGCGCUUAAGUUGUAUACCUAUACAUUACCGCUAAAGUAGAUGAUUUAUAUUACUUGUGAUAUAAAUUUUGAAACUUUAGUGAGUAGGAAGGUACAAUGGUAUGCGUAGAAGUGUUUGGCGUAAGCCUGCAUGGAGCUGCCAUUGGUACAGAUCUUGGUGGUAGUAGCAAAUAAUCGAAUGAGACCUUGGAGGACUGAAGUGGAGAAGGGUUUCGUGUGAACAGUGGUUGAUCACGAGUUAGUCGGUCCUAAGUUCAAGGCGAAAGCCGAAAAUUUUCAAGUAAAACAAAAAUGCCUAACUAUAUAAACAAAGCGAAUUAUAAUACACUUGAAUAAUUUUGAACGAAAGGGAAUACGGUUCCAAUUCCGUAACCUGUUGAGUAUCCGUUUGUUAUUAAAUAUGGGCCUCGUGCUCAUCCUGGCAACAGGAACGACCAUAAAGAAGCCGUCGAGAGAUAUCGGAAGAGUUUUCUUUUCUGUUUUAUAGCCGUACUACCAUGGAAGUCUUUCGCAGAGAGAUAUGGUAGAUGGGCUAGAAGAGCAUGACAUAUACUGUUGUGUCGAUAUUUUCUCCUCGGACCUUGAAAAUUUAUGGUGGGGACACGCAAACUUCUCAACAGGCCGUACCAAUAUCCGCAGCUGGUCUCCAAGGUGAAGAGUCUCUAGUCGAUAGAAUAAUGUAGGUAAGGGAAGUCGGCAAAUUAGAUCCGUAACUUCGGGAUAAGGAUUGGCUCUGAAGAUUGAGAUAGUCGGGCUUGAUUGGGAAACAAUAACAUGGUUUAUGUGCUCGUUCUGGGUAAAUAGAGUUUCUAGCAUUUAUGUUAGUUACUUGUUCCCCGGAUAGUUUAGUUACGUAGCCAAUUGUGGAACUUUCUUGCUAAAAUUUUUAAGAAUACUAUUUGGGUUAAACCAAUUAGUUCUUAUUAAUUAUAACGAUUAUCAAUUAACAAUCAAUUCAGAACUGGCACGGACUUGGGGAAUCCGACUGUCUAAUUAAAACAAAGCAUUGUGAUGGCCCUAGCGGGUGUUGACACAAUGUGAUUUCUGCCCAGUGCUCUGAAUGUCAAAGUGAAGAAAUUCAAGUAAGCGCGGGUCAACGGCGGGAGUAACUAUGACUCUCUUAAGGUAGCCAAAUGCCUCGUCAUCUAAUUAUGACGCGCAUGAAUGAUCGUCAGCAUAACGGACGCGCAUGAAUGGAUUAACGACGGACGUGUUUUCGUUGCGCUCGUGGACAUAGUGCGGAAGAACUUUGUUUUCCGUAUUUGAAGUAUACGAAUAAAUAAUUUAGUGUUCCGUGAAGUGGUGCGCAAAUUUUCGCGAAUUAAAAACAAGCGGUUUGGAAGUAAUUGACAAUAAAUUAUUGGAAAUUUUCCACUCCGCACGUGUUGAGCGGCGAGCUUGGCGGGUGAGCUUUUCGAACAGCUGAGAGAAGCUUAUUGGUGGUAGUCACCGCUAAGGAUUGUGUCUUGGGACAGCUUAGUGCACUCUACCAAUAGGUGGAGCUAUCACCAUAGCAACUAGCCCGUGUCAGCGAAGCAUACGAUUGCUGGACUCGUCAAAAGGAGGAGCCACCAUCGGAGCAACGCCGAUGGAGAGCGACAGCAGUGUGAAGUGCCUUGAGCGGAAGCAGUGCUCAAAGGUGUCAAGACGAGGCAGGCGUAGAGGCCAUCUGCCUCCAAGAGCUCGGCGCCAACGCAGGCGAAACUGGUUGCCCUGGCCUCGAAUGGAGUGCCAGGAACCCGUUGGUGUGCUGGAGGAGGCGUUUUCAUCGCUGGAGGAUGCCCGGGCGGCUACGUCAAACGCUGCCAACGAUGCUGCCCCCCCGCU
RNAcentral lists this ribosomal RNA (3174 nucleotides) under Drosophila melanogaster (fruit fly). RNAcentral's name for it is "eukaryotic LSU rRNA". The stretch from base 1 to 2610 matches the Rfam family "Eukaryotic large subunit ribosomal RNA". Lineage: Eukaryota; Metazoa; Arthropoda; Insecta; Diptera; Drosophilidae. The record is from RNAcentral.